Neopsephotus bourkii (Bourke's parrot) is the source of this 647-nucleotide long non-coding RNA. RefSeq lists it as uncharacterized. Lineage: Eukaryota; Metazoa; Chordata; Aves; Psittaciformes; Psittacidae. The record is from RefSeq and is a predicted model, not a curated record. The transcript has 2 exons.
GGGUAUCCUCAUUUAUGGAGAAUUCAAGGAAGAUUCAGUUCUUUUGUUCAUUUUAGCAGCUGGUUCUGGGGCACUGUGUAAAGAGGGCCAUGGAGCAGAAAUCCACCAAGAUACUGCAGGAACAUCAGCAUCAAAAACCUUCAGCUACUGGAAGUGAAAGGUCAGAAGAUGGACCAAAAGUUCCUUAUUACUCUAGAAAGCAGACUUCAUGGUUUUGUUUUGAAGUACUGAAAAUGAAAGGGUUUGGUGCAGUUUUCUUCCUUGAAAAACAAAAGGCGGAGGGAGGUGAGAGGGGGUGCAGAUAAUUGCAGUUACUAAAUCAAUCCCAAACAGUAUCUGUGGAUGUACAGAUGAGUGGACCAGGAGUAAACACAACCUGUGGUAUAUAUGUUGGAUUGUUUUCAAAGAAAACCACAACUGUGGGAUCACUAAGAAGGUUUCAAAACUGUGCACUGAUCUUACAAAACUUUUAACUGCAUUAAAACAUGAUUGAAAGAAAAAAACAAGUAGAUCUGAGAUUGGAAAUAAACAAAAGCAAGCUUUGAUUUAUUUUUGAAUUCAAAAAGCUUUUCAUUAUGACACUUUUAUAACAGGAGAAGGUUUAAAACCAAAAUGUUUCACUCCCUGACAAAUGUAAUGUUUCAUUU